Molecule: long non-coding RNA, 158 nt
Organism: Telopea speciosissima
Lineage: Eukaryota; Viridiplantae; Streptophyta; Magnoliopsida; Proteales; Proteaceae
Exons: 3
Source: RefSeq, a predicted model, not a curated record
CCUUUUUUCUAAUUUAGCUUAAUCUAAAGUAAUUUGAAGGAAUGCCUAACUGGCUCAAUUCAAAUCCAUAUUUCUGUUGAUUAAGCUCCAUAAUCAAAAGAAAUUAGACGCUGGAGUUGUUAAAGAUUUCAGGAGAAAAAUGUUUAAAGGUAAAGCUG